AAGAGAGGCUCGCUAGCAAGGAAGACUGCUAAUCUUCUGCCCCCUGGUUGAACUCCAGGGCUCACUCA
This 68-nucleotide transfer RNA is filed under the name Pristipomoides zonatus (oblique-banded snapper). Its description in RNAcentral is "tRNA-Ser". Lineage: Eukaryota; Metazoa; Chordata; Actinopteri; Lutjaniformes; Lutjanidae. The record is from RNAcentral.